GCGGGCGUAGCUCAGUGGUAGAGCAUCUGCUUCCCAAGCAGAGGGUCGCGGGUUCGAAUCCCGUCGCCCGCUCCA
This 75-nucleotide transfer RNA is filed under the name Fimbriimonadales bacterium. RNAcentral describes it as "tRNA-Gly". It matches the Rfam family "tRNA". From Rfam's summary of the family: Transfer RNA (tRNA) molecules are approximately 80 nucleotides in length. Their secondary structure includes four short double-helical elements and three loops (D, anti-codon, and T loops). Lineage: Bacteria; Bacillati; Armatimonadota; Fimbriimonadia; Fimbriimonadales. The record is from RNAcentral.